This 253-nucleotide ribosomal RNA is filed under the name uncultured bacterium. RNAcentral describes it as "partial 16S ribosomal RNA". It matches the Rfam family "Bacterial small subunit ribosomal RNA", at positions 524 to 776 of the family's 1533-position model. The record is from RNAcentral.
UACGGGGGGGGCAAGCGUUGUUCGGAAUUACUGGGCGUAAAGGGCUCGUAGGUGGCCAACUAAGUCAGACGUGAAAUCCCUCGGCUUAACCGGGGAACUGCGUCUGAUACUGGAUGGCUUGAGUUCGGGAGAGGGAUGCGGAAUUCCAGGUGUAGCGGUGAAAUGCGUAGAUAUCUGGAGGAACACCGGUGGCGAAGGCGGCAUCCUGGACCGAUACUGACUCUGAGGAGCGAAAGCCAGGGGAUCAAACGGG